Molecule: transfer RNA, 72 nt
Filed under: Deltaproteobacteria bacterium
Lineage: Bacteria; Pseudomonadati; Myxococcota; Myxococcia
Description: tRNA-Pro
Rfam family: tRNA
About the family: Transfer RNA (tRNA) molecules are approximately 80 nucleotides in length.
Source: RNAcentral
CUGGAUGUAGCUCAGCAGGAGAGUACGCGGUUCGGAUCCGCGGGGCCGUUGGUGCGAAUCCAACCAUUCAGA